AUAUAUAAAUAUAAUAGAUCUUAUAGUGAGUUAGUGAAGUGUGAUUAUAG
This 50-nucleotide non-coding RNA is filed under the name Trypanosoma brucei brucei. Lineage: Eukaryota; Euglenozoa; Kinetoplastea; Trypanosomatida; Trypanosomatidae. The record is from RNAcentral.